AGUGAACGCUGGCGGUAGGCCUAACACAUGCAAGUCGAACGGCAGCACAGGAGAGCUUGCUCUCUGGGUGGCGAGUGGCGGACGGGUGAGGAAUACAUCGGAAUCUACUCUGCCGUGGGGGAUAACGUAGGGAAACUUACGCUAAUACCGCAUACGACCUACGGGUGAAAGCAGGGGAUCUUCGGACCUUGCGCGAUUGAAUGAGCCGAUGUCGGAUUAGCUAGUUGGCGGGGGAAAGGACCACCAAGGCGACGAUCCGUAGCUGGUCUGAGAGGAUGAUCAGCCACACUGGAACUGAGAAACGGUCCAGACUCCUACGGGAGGCAGCAGUGGGGAAUAUUGGACAAUGGGCGCAAGCCUGAUCCAGCCAUACCGCGUGGGUGAAGAAGGCCUUCGGGUUGUAAAGCCCUUUUGUUGGGAAAGAAAUCCAGCUGGCUAAUACCCGGUUGGGAUGACGGUACCCAAAGAAUAAGCACCGGCUAACUUCGUGCCAGCAGCCGCCGUAA
RNAcentral lists this ribosomal RNA (506 nucleotides) under uncultured bacterium. RNAcentral's name for it is "partial 16S ribosomal RNA". It matches the Rfam family "Bacterial small subunit ribosomal RNA", at positions 29 to 523 of the family's 1533-position model. The record is from RNAcentral.